AACGAACGCUGGCGGCAUGCCUAACACAUGCAAGUCGAACGAGACCUUCGGGUCUAGUGGCGCACGGGUGCGUAACGCGUGGGAACCUGCCCUUAGGUUCGGAAUAACUCCCCGAAGGGGGUGCUAAUACCGGAUAAUGUCUUCGGACCAAAGAUUUAUCGCCUUUGGAUGGGCCCGCGUUGGAUUAGCUAGUUGGUAGGGUAAAAGCCUACCAAGGCGACGAUCCAUAGCUGGUCGGGGAGGAUGAUCAGCCACACUGGGACUGAGACACGGCCCAGACUCCUACGGGAGGCAGCAGUGUGGAAUAUUGGACGAGGGGCGAAAGCCUGAUCCAGCAAUGCCGCGUGAGUGAUGAAGGCCUUAGUGUUGUAAAGCUCUUUUACCCGGGAUGAUAAUGACGGUACCGGGAGAAUAAGCUCCGGCUAACUCCGUG
This 433-nucleotide ribosomal RNA is filed under the name uncultured bacterium. Its description in RNAcentral is "partial 16S ribosomal RNA". It matches the Rfam family "Bacterial small subunit ribosomal RNA", at positions 29 to 507 of the family's 1533-position model. The record is from RNAcentral.